GACGAACGCUGGCGGCGUGCUUAAACACAUGCAAGUGGAGCGACGAACCAGGCUUCGGCCUGGGGCAGAGCCGCGAACGAGUGAGUAACACGUGGGUAACCUGCCCUGAUGAUUGGGACAACCCGAGGAAACUCGGGCUAAUACCAAAUGUGCCCUCCGGCCGUUAAGGCCUCUGGGGAAAGGAAGCUUCGGCCUCCGCAUCGGGAUGGGCCCGCGGCCCAUUGGCUUGUUGGUGAGGUAACGGCUCGCCAAGGCUACGAUGGGUAGCUGGUCUGAGAGGACGAUCAGCCACACUGGGACUGAGACACGGCCCAGGACUCCUACGGGAGGCAGCAGUGGGGAAUCUUGCGCAAUGCGCGAAAGCGUGACGCAGCAACGCCGCGUGGGGGAAGAAGGCCUGGUGU
Molecule: ribosomal RNA, 404 nt
Filed under: uncultured bacterium
Lineage: Bacteria
Description: bacterial SSU rRNA
Rfam family: Bacterial small subunit ribosomal RNA
Source: RNAcentral